AUUCCAGCUCCAAUAGCGUAUAUUAAAGUUGUUGCAGUUAAAAAGCUCGUAGUUGAAUUUUGGACUUGGCUGGUUGGUCUUUGCGAAAGCAAAGUACUAUUCCGGCUGAGUCUUUCCUUCUGGCGAACAAUUGUGCUAUUUAUUUAGUGCGAUUGGGAACCAGGACUUUUACUUUGAAAAAAUUAGAGUGUUUAAAGCAGGCUUACGCUUGAAUACAUUAGCAUGGAAUAAUAAAAUAGGACUUUGGUUUUAUUUUGUUGGUUUUCGAAACCAAAGUAAUGAUUAAUAGGGAUAGUUGGGGGCAUUAGUAUUGAGCCGUCAGAGGUGAAAUUCUUGGAUUGGCUCAAGACUAACUUCUGCGAAAGCAUUUGCCAAGGAUGUUUUCAUCG
This 389-nucleotide ribosomal RNA is filed under the name Rhizophydiales sp. RNAcentral describes it as "partial small subunit ribosomal RNA". It matches the Rfam family "Eukaryotic small subunit ribosomal RNA", at positions 582 to 975 of the family's 1831-position model. Lineage: Eukaryota; Fungi; Chytridiomycota; Chytridiomycetes; Rhizophydiales. The record is from RNAcentral.